Molecule: ribosomal RNA, 492 nt
Filed under: uncultured bacterium
Lineage: Bacteria
Description: partial 16S ribosomal RNA
Rfam family: Bacterial small subunit ribosomal RNA
Source: RNAcentral
AGUGAACGCUGGCGGUAGGCCUAACACAUGCAAGUCGAACGGCAGCACCGUAAGAGCUUGCUUUUACGGGUGGCGGGUGGCGGACGGGUGAGGAAUACAUCGGACUCUACUUUUUCGUGGGGGAUAACGUAGGGAAACUUACGCUACUACAGCAUACGCCCUACGGGUGAGAGCAGGGGAUAUUCGGGGCUGGCGCGGAUGAACUAGCGGCUGUCGGAUUUGCUAGUUGGCGGGGUAAAGGCCCACCCAGGCGACGGUCCGCUGCUGGACUGAGUGGAUGGUCGGCCACACUGGAACGUAGACACGGUCCAGAGUCCUACGGGAGGCAGCAGUGGGGAAUAGUGGACAAUGGGCGCAAGCCUGACCCAACCAUACCGCGUGGGUGAAGAAGGCCUUCGGUUUGUAAAGCCCUUUUUUUGGGAAAGAAAAGCAGCAGGUUGAUACCCCGCUGUUCUGACGGUACCCAAUAAAUAAGCACCGGCUAACUUCGUG